UACGAAGGGGGCUAGCGUUGUUCGGAAUUACUGGGCGUAAAGGGCGCGUAGGCGGUUUAUCAAGUUAGGUGUGAAAGCCCUGGGCUCAACCCAGGAACUGCAUUUAAGACUGAUAGGCUAGAGAUCUAGAGGGGAUAGUGGAAUUCCAAGUGUAGAGGUGAAAUUCGUAGAUAUUUGGAGGAACACAAGUGGCGAAGGCGACUAUCUGGCUAGAAUCUGACGCUGAGGCGCGAUAGCGUGGGGAGCAAACAGG
This 253-nucleotide ribosomal RNA is filed under the name uncultured bacterium. RNAcentral's name for it is "partial 16S ribosomal RNA". It matches the Rfam family "Bacterial small subunit ribosomal RNA", at positions 524 to 776 of the family's 1533-position model. The record is from RNAcentral.